Molecule: transfer RNA, 66 nt
Filed under: Emerita talpoida
Lineage: Eukaryota; Metazoa; Arthropoda; Malacostraca; Decapoda; Hippidae
Description: tRNA-Leu
Source: RNAcentral
UCUAAAAUGACAGAAAAAUGUGUAAGAUUUAGGAUCUUAUUAUGAAGAGUACUUCUUCUUUUAGUA